Molecule: RNase P RNA, 397 nt
Filed under: Caldimicrobium thiodismutans
Lineage: Bacteria; Pseudomonadati; Thermodesulfobacteriota; Thermodesulfobacteria; Thermodesulfobacteriales; Thermodesulfobacteriaceae
Description: RNase P RNA component class A
Rfam family: Bacterial RNase P class A
About the family: Ribonuclease P (RNase P) is a ubiquitous endoribonuclease, found in archaea, bacteria and eukarya as well as chloroplasts and mitochondria. Its best characterised activity is the generation of mature 5'-ends of tRNAs by cleaving the 5'-leader elements of precursor-tRNAs.
Source: RNAcentral
GCAGGGGUUAAGAGGCGGUUGCGCAAGAGGCUAAGCCCUCUUGUGAGGAAAGUCCGGGCUCCAUAGGGGCAGGAUGCCGGGUAAUACCCGGAGGGAGUAAUCCCUGGAAAGGGCCACAGAAAAGAGACCGCAAGUGCUUCUGCCUAAUGUACUGGGUAGAAGCGCUUGCAAGGGUGAAAAGGUGGGGUAAGAGCCCACCGCAGGCUGGGGUAACUCAGCCUGGCACGGCAACCCCCAUCCGGAGCAAGGCCAAAGAGAGCCCACGGGUGCCCCGCCCAAAUGGGCUCAGGUAGGCCGCUUGAGGCGAAAGAGUAAUUUUUCGCCCAAGAUAAAUAACCGCCCUGAAGGAGGUUCUCCUCCUUCAGAACAGAACCCGGCUUACUUAACCCCUGCCCUA